RNAcentral lists this ribosomal RNA (253 nucleotides) under uncultured bacterium. RNAcentral describes it as "partial 16S ribosomal RNA". It matches the Rfam family "Bacterial small subunit ribosomal RNA", at positions 524 to 776 of the family's 1533-position model. The record is from RNAcentral.
GACAGAGGAGGCAAGCGUUGUUCGGAAUCAUUGGGCUUAAAGGGCGUGUAGGCGGCGGCGCAAGUGUCGAGUGAAAUCCCAUCGCUCAACGAUGGAACGGCUCGGCAAACUGCGUCGCUUGAGGUCGGUAGAGGUGCUCGGAGCUCUAGGUGGAGCGGUGAAAUGCGUAGAUAUCUAGAGGAACGCCUGAGGCGAAAGCGGGGCACUGGGCCGAUACUGACGCUGAGACGCGAAAGCGUGGGGAGCAAACAGG